RNAcentral lists this ribosomal RNA (253 nucleotides) under uncultured bacterium. RNAcentral's name for it is "partial 16S ribosomal RNA". It matches the Rfam family "Bacterial small subunit ribosomal RNA", at positions 524 to 776 of the family's 1533-position model. The record is from RNAcentral.
UACGUAGGGCGCAAGCGUUAUCCGGAAUUAUUGGGCGUAAAGGGCUCGUAGGCGGUUUGUCGCGUCGGGAGUGAAAACUCAGGGCUCAACCCUGAGCGUGCUUCCGAUACGGGCAGACUAGAGGUAUGCAGGGGAGAACGGAAUUCCUGGUGUAGCGGUGGAAUGCGCAGAUAUCAGGAGGAACACCGGUGGCGAAGGCGGUUCUCUGGGCAUUACCUGACGCUGAGGAGCGAAAGCAUGGGGAGCGAACAGG